AACGAACGCUGGCGGCAGGCUUAACACAUGCAAGUCGAACGCAUCCUUCGGGGUGAGUGGCAGACGGGUGAGUAACGCGUGGGAACGUGCCCUUCAGUUCGGGAUAACCCAGGGAAACUUGGGCUAAUACCGGAUACGUGCGAGAGCAGAAAGAUUUAUUGCUGAAGGAUCGGCCCGCGUCUGAUUAGCUAGUUGGUGGGGUAAUGGCCCACCAAGGCGACGAUCAGUAGCUGGUCUGAGAGGAUGAUCAGCCACAUUGGGACUGAGACACGGCCCAAACUCCUACGGGAGGCAGCAGUGGGGAAUAUUGGACAAUGGGCGAGAGCCUGGUCCAGCCAUGCCGCGUGAGUGAUGAAGGCCUUAGGGUUGUAAAGCUCUUUCGUCCGGGACGAUAAUGACGGUACCGGAAGAAGAAGCCCCGGCUAACUUCGUACCAGCCGCCGCGGUAA
This 449-nucleotide ribosomal RNA is filed under the name uncultured bacterium. Its description in RNAcentral is "partial 16S ribosomal RNA". It matches the Rfam family "Bacterial small subunit ribosomal RNA", at positions 29 to 523 of the family's 1533-position model. The record is from RNAcentral.